UGCAUGCGGGGACUGCGGGCCAGGCCUGUCCUUCUCCGGCAGGCGGAGCCGGCUGUUCCCACAGCAGAGGAGGAAAGGGCGUGUGCUGGGCUUCCUGUGUCUGGGCCGAAACUGGUGCAGCGUCACACCCAGCGCAGGCCCUGGGCCACUGCAAAUCACAGGGCCAGGAAAGCUGAAAAAGUUCAUCCAUCAGGAAGCCCAAAAGCCAGUUGUUACAAAAGCACGCGGCAGCUUUCUGGUUUCUGUAUCCGUCCUGUAAACCGAGCAUUCCUUUCCACCUCUUGCGCACUGAGCCGGGUGUCAUCUGCCGUACACAGUGAAUGACAGCUUUGAGUCUCUCCUUC
This 344-nucleotide long non-coding RNA is filed under the name Heterocephalus glaber (naked mole-rat). RNAcentral's name for it is "lncRNA (ENSHGLG00100046547.1)". Lineage: Eukaryota; Metazoa; Chordata; Mammalia; Rodentia; Bathyergidae. The record is from RNAcentral.